Molecule: long non-coding RNA, 841 nt
Organism: Spinacia oleracea (spinach)
Lineage: Eukaryota; Viridiplantae; Streptophyta; Magnoliopsida; Caryophyllales; Amaranthaceae
Exons: 9
Source: RefSeq, a predicted model, not a curated record
ACGACGUCGACGCCUCUGUAAUUGGAAGCAGUCAGAAGAGAGCAUCCACAAUGGUACAAUAUAAGUGCAGAUCUGAACCAGACGAACCUAUGGCAUCAACUCAUUCUCGACCUCGCUUUUAUCGCUCUCGCCACUUUCAAGGGUUUGGAGGAUAGAUCUUCGGGAGUAUUUGAGCGGCAUUAGGAUUUGAGAUUGCUUUAAAUGUUUCAAGGUGUAAAUUAAGGGAAAACUGGGAGGAUGCAAAUCCUGCUUCUUGGGGAUCAAGUCCGCAAUAUCGGCCUGGAAGUCCUCCUCGAGAACAUAUGAUGCCCCUACUCCAGUAGGCUGGGCUUCAACUCCUGGUGGCAAUUAUAAUGAUCCUGAGGCCCCUAGAGAUGUACGCAGCCCACGACACCAAGCUCUGUAUCGUAUUUCUUGGUACUCUUGGUGGGUAACCGAUAACUCCUGGAGGCGGUGGCCUUGAUAUGAUGUCUCCUAUGAUAGGUUAUUGAUUAGGCGACCUAGUAGAAGAGUUUUAAAGAAGACAAUAAAGGACUAAGGUGUAUAAGUAAAAUCCACAGUCAACCUUCUGAGAACCGUAUAGAGGCUUGCAGAUCAUUUUACAUGACUCCUUGUCGUUCAGCAUUCGAUUGCUCUAGGUAACACGUCUACAGAGAAAAUCCAGGCUCAUAUGGUAGUUGGAGCAAGAAGUGAACCUUCUAAGAGAUGAAAAAACAACAAAGGAGGACAUUAGCUGAUGGAAGAAAGUUUGAUGGAAGGAGCCAAGGAGGGGUUCUGGACUUCUGGUGGAUAGUUGAGCAUAUGCUUGUGCCCACAUUGAUAAUAAGUAAUAAGUAUUGUU